UGAGGAAUAUUGCACAAUGGGGGAAACCCUGAUGCAGCAACGCCGCGUGGAGGAUGAAUGUCCUUGGAUUGUAAACUCCUUUUCUGAGGGAAGAGUAAGGACGGUACCUCAGGAAUAAGUCACGGCUAACUACGUGCCAGCAGCCGCGGUAACACGUAGGUGACAAGCGUUAUCCGGAAUUACUGGGCGUAAAGCGCACGCAGGCGGUCAAUAAAGUCCGGCGUGAAAUUUCCCGGCUUAACCGGGAGGGGUCGUUGGAUACUAAUUGACUUGAGGCGAUGAGAGGGAUAUAGAAUUCCUGGUGUAGUGGUGGAAUGCGUAGAUAUCAGGAGGAAUACCAGUGGCGAAAGCGGUAUCCUGGCAUUUGCCUGACGCUCAUGUGCGAAAGCGUGGGGAGCGAACGGGAUUAGAUACCCCCGUAGUCC
RNAcentral lists this ribosomal RNA (425 nucleotides) under uncultured prokaryote. RNAcentral's name for it is "bacterial SSU rRNA". It matches the Rfam family "Bacterial small subunit ribosomal RNA", at positions 355 to 796 of the family's 1533-position model. The record is from RNAcentral.